UACGAGAGGCCCAAACGUUAUUCGGAAUUACUGGGCUUAAAGAGUUCGUAGGCGGCGCAGAAAGUAGGGUGUGAAAGCCCUCGGCUCAACCGAGGAAUUGCGCUCUAAACUACUGUGCUUGAGGGACCUAGAGGUGAGCGGAACUGAUGGUGGAGCGGUGAAAUGCGUUGAUAUCAUCAGGAACACCGGUGGCGAAGGCGCUCUGCUAGGCCGCAACUGACACUGAGGGACGAAAGCUAGGGGAGCAAACGGG
RNAcentral lists this ribosomal RNA (253 nucleotides) under uncultured bacterium. Its description in RNAcentral is "partial 16S ribosomal RNA". It matches the Rfam family "Bacterial small subunit ribosomal RNA", at positions 524 to 776 of the family's 1533-position model. The record is from RNAcentral.